RNAcentral lists this long non-coding RNA (1054 nucleotides) under Marmota monax (woodchuck). Lineage: Eukaryota; Metazoa; Chordata; Mammalia; Rodentia; Sciuridae. The record is from RNAcentral.
GCAAAGCUGAGCUGUGGGACCUUCGGAAGGCGGGAGCCAAGCGUGGCCGCUUUAAGAGCGCGGAGCGCGCGUUCCCGUCGCCGGCUGCCCCGGGCUGCGCGCCCCCGUCGUCACAGCGCGUCCCCGCCGCUGCGCGCCCCCUGCUCGCUCGCUCGCCCGCUCGCCGGCUUUAAAGUCUCUGCCAGGAUCCAUGCUCACAUGUUACUUCCUGUAUGGAGGCAUGGCCAGUUUCCAGCCCCGCGCUCCCGAUUCCUCCCCAGCCUGCGCCGGAGCCACAACUUUCAGGAGCAUGGACUGAAGGCGCCCUCGCCCCAGCGCCCCUCUGAGAUCCUUUGUGUUUUCCUGCGUUUCCUCCGGCCGUUUCUAUUCUGGGGGGGCCCUUCGAUCCCCCCGCCUCUGCCCUCCCCUUCCCCGAUCGCAAACAUGCCUCCUUCCUUCCCGGGGCCCUGGAAGGAGCUGCCUGCCUGAAGCCCGGAGACGCCGCGCCGCGAUCAGCCCGCCGCCGCCCGCCGGCUCUCCGGCUGCGCUGUGCUGCCGACUCAAGUUGGAGAUCCUCGGCUGCUCGCCGUCGCCGCCCGCGGUCCCUGCCUGCCCCGGGCCCCGGGCUUCGUCGCCGUCCGCCCACUCCUCGCCCUGCCCGCUCCGCUCUCUGCUGUUUGAACGGCAACCAGCCCUUCUCCGCCGAGAGGAUCGUCCCCAGCGUGGCUUUGCAUCCUCAGUCACUUUUUGAGAUUUUCCGGGGGGGCGCUCGGCGGCUUCCCGGAUUCCAGGGGGACUCGCCGCUGAGCGUGGGGGGCCCGUGGAGCUGGCGAGCCGGGAGAGCGCCCAGGCUUAGCGGAGGCUCGCACGGAAGCAAGAACUUAUUCAACAAGUUUACCCCCCCUGCUUUCUUCUUUUCGAUGUGCGUUUUCGGACAUGCGGAGGUUACUGGAACCGUGUUGGUGGAUUUUGUUCCUGAAAAUCACCAGUUCCGUGCUCCAUUAUGUGGUGUGCUUCCCCGGUGAGUGCCGGCGGCCGAGGGCACGCAGCCCCGGCCCGCGCGCGCUGGGUAUGC